AGAACUGAGCCGUUUUCUUCCGUUCCUGUUCGUGGAACAGCCCCGGAUUCGGGCCAGUUCCACCUCUCUGUGGUGCAGGGCUGGUUACCUGCAUCACGGGAUAUUGCUUCUGCUGCACCUUUAUAAAGGAUUUCCUCCUGUUAAUUAAACCCAUCCGCUGUGUUUGGGUGCAGCCGGGGUUUCUUCUGCCUUCCAGCCAGAGGUGUGAAGAUCCCAGUAACCUAAUCUGUGAUGGGCAAAAGGACACACACACGCAGAGUGAAAAGACAGCAGCGUGCCCUCCCCAUCCUCUCCCUUGGUGGAAAGAGUCCUGCUUGGAUGCGCUCAUGACAGUGAUUCUAUUUUGUUUCAUCUCAUGCACAGCCAGGUGCAUGGGCCCGCCUGCAGGAUCAGGUAGGGAGCAUCGUCUUCAUGUGAUGUGUGUGUUUGUGUAUCUAAAUAAGCAUGCUGGAAGCUCGAGGGAGGAGAGGUAAAGUUUAAACAGCCCCACCUCCUUUUGCAAUAGACAAGGAAAAGUUCUUCUUUAAAAAGAUCACUGGCAUCUUCCUUGGCUGGCUUUUAAACAUGCACUGUAGCAGGUUGACUCAGCAUGUUUGAAUGGUAGAAACUGUAAUUAACCUUGUAGGCUUCCUGGCUGAAAGCAAACGCUUUAGUCUGACUGCUCUUGGCUGAUUUAACACAAACUCCAGCACCCUCUGGCCAGUGACGAGCGUUCGCAGUAGAU
This 724-nucleotide long non-coding RNA is filed under the name Chrysemys picta bellii (western painted turtle). Its description in RNAcentral is "lncRNA (ENSCPBG00000003811.1)". Lineage: Eukaryota; Metazoa; Chordata; Testudines; Emydidae. The record is from RNAcentral.